RNAcentral lists this ribosomal RNA (468 nucleotides) under uncultured bacterium. RNAcentral's name for it is "partial 16S ribosomal RNA". It matches the Rfam family "Bacterial small subunit ribosomal RNA", at positions 28 to 507 of the family's 1533-position model. The record is from RNAcentral.
GACGAACGCUGGCGGCGUGCUUAACACAUGCGAGUCGAACGGAAAGGCCCUGCUUUUGUGGGGUGCUCGAGUGGCGAACGGGUGAGUAACACGUGAGUAACCUGCCCUUGACUUUGGGAUAACUUCAGGAAACUGGGGCUAAUACCGGAUAGGAGCUCCUGCUGCAUGGUGGGGGUUGGAAAGUUUCGGCGGGUGGGGAUGGACUCGCGGCUUAUCAGCUUGUUGGUGGGGUAGUGGCUUACCAAGGCUUUGACGGGUAGCCGGCCUGAGAGGGUGACCGGCCCCAUUGGGACUGAGAUACGGCCCCGACUCCUCCGGGAGGCAGCAGUGGGGAAUAUUGCACAAUGGGCGGACGCCUGAUGCAGCAACGCCGCGUGCGGGAUGACGGCCUUCGGGUUGUAAACCGCUUUCGCCUGUGACGAAGCGUGAGUGACGGUAAUGGGUAAAGAAGCACCGGCUAACUACGUG